RNAcentral lists this ribosomal RNA (377 nucleotides) under uncultured bacterium. RNAcentral describes it as "bacterial SSU rRNA". It matches the Rfam family "Bacterial small subunit ribosomal RNA", at positions 523 to 898 of the family's 1533-position model. The record is from RNAcentral.
ACACGUAGGGGGCGAGCGUUGUCCGGAAUUACUGGGCGUAAAGGGCGCGUAGGCGGCCUAUUAAGUCAGAUGUGAAACCCCUGGGCUUAACCUAGGGCUUGCAUUUGAAACUGAAAGGCUUGAGGGCAGGAGAGGAAAGCGGAAUUCCCAGUGUAGCGGUGAAAUGCGUAGAUAUUGGGAGGAACACCAGUGGCGAAGGCGGCUUUCUGGACUGAACCUGACGCUGAGGCGCGAAAGCCAGGGUAGCAAACGGGAUUAGAUACCCCGGUAGUCCUGGCUGUAAACGAUGGAUACUAGGUGUGGGAGGUAUCGACCCCUUCUGUGCCGCAGUUAACACAUUAAGUAUCCCGCCUGGGGAGUACGGCCGCAAGGCUGAA